Molecule: long non-coding RNA, 4117 nt
Organism: Centrocercus urophasianus (Greater sage-grouse)
Lineage: Eukaryota; Metazoa; Chordata; Aves; Galliformes; Phasianidae
Exons: 6
Source: RefSeq, a predicted model, not a curated record
CAUUAUAUACAUUAUAAGCAUAAAAUGAGUUUAAUGUAUGUGCUUUGAAAAGAAGGGGAAAACAGAAAAUCAGGGAGGACUGAUUUUAAUGCUGCUCAAAAUGAUUUUGAAAUUUUCUGUUCAUCUUUGUUACUAACGGUGCAUUUUCCAUGAAAUUUAGGAAUGACAUGUGGUGCUUUCAUCUCCUUAAAUUUAAUAUACUUCUCUUUCUGUUUUCCUCAAUUUCUUCAAAGUUCUUUUUAGAACACUGUGCAAAGAGACAGAGAGAAAAUUCUCCUCUCAAUGAGUGAAUAUAUCUGUUUUUAAUGCUGGGGGGAGUUAAGUGUGUGCUUCUAGAGGAGAAUAUACCCCUGCAUUAAAUAUUGAAAUAAACAGUAUUAAAGAGGUGCAAGGAUAUUUGGCUGCAGCACACCUGAUGCAUUCAAGGGCCAAAUUCCUUAGAAUCUUUUAAAGUGAUUAAGAUCUUUUCUGUUAAGAGUUCUCCAAUGAUUUCAGAGUAUAACUGUACCUAAAUAGCUGAUGAAAUGUCCUGCUCUUGUCUUUUGAAAAGCUUUCUUUUAUGUUUUAUUGUUUUCUUUUUUGUUGCUGUUGUAGUCAUUUGGUUUAUGUUGAGCAUCGUAUUUUCAAGACAAAGUUAAAAAUUUAAAGAAUAAUUUCCUCCUGCUAGCACAUAAUGCUGACUAAGUAUUUCAAAAUCUACAGCACUUGCAGAAUGCAAGCAUUAUGCUUAUAAUUUUUAUAAUGAUUCUAGACAAUAUAAGGACACUGGGAUUCUUCCUAUUUUGAUAUAUAAAGUGGCGAGCAAAUGCAGAAGUCUCCAUGGUGUUGUGUGUCUGCAGGAAAUGUUCUGAUACUUCUACAACUCUCUUAAACAAAUGUUAAAGCUUUGUAAUGGACCUGGCAAUGGAGAAUGACCAUGAAAUUCCCUUAACCCUUAUAGGGCACUUCAGCAGGAGAAGUGAUCACACAAGAAACAAUAAACUGCUCUUCAAAGGCAGUAUCCUGAUAUGACAACAGACGUAGAUAAUGCACUUCAUGAUGGAACUGCUUGAUACAGGGAAAAACAUGUUGUAACUGCCUUCAGUAUGAAAGGGGUUUAAAAAUGCUGCUUGCCAACUCCACAAAAAACAGAGCUGCUAUUUCAGUUAAAGGCCAGUGGAUUGUAUUUUUCAUGUCAGUUUUCACUAACCUCAAACAUCACUGUUAUGACAGACUGUCAUCCAACCAAACCAGCACUGUGAUGCCAUUCAGGCAAGAAGGAAGAAAGCAAACACAAAGGAAACUUAGAAGUCCGAAUAGUGAGAGGGGGUGUCUGUGAGUGCACUUUUGUGCAGUGAUACUGAUUACUGAAAAUGAAACACUUAAAAGAAAAUAAACCCAAAAAAGUGCUUUCUGAGCCAUUGGUGUUUUCUUGCCUGCCCAUUUCUCUUUGUUCUGUUUCAUGACAUCAGCCUUAAUGGUUGAAAGGAUGUUCUGGGCCAGAUGUCAAUCGCUAUGUCUAACAUAAACAAAAAUAGCUAAAAAGACAUGCCAGCAUCUUCCUUUUGUUUUCCCAUUAGCUCCAUUUUUCUUUUCAGAGGCUGACAAAAAAUUACUGCCUCCGAGUGAAUUCAGUAAUGUCACUAUAUAUCUAAUAUCUAGGAGACCUUUUGUUUUAGCUUUACUGGGCUUAACCACAAAAGACACUUGACAUUGACAAAGAGUCUGUCAAAUACACAAUGAUCAGUGCAAUGAAAUCUCUCAUGACAGAAGGGCACUAUUCUGCACCCCCAGUCCGCAGCAGCCUGUCUGAGCAAAAUGUGCCGGAGCACACGCAGCAGCUGAACCAUUGCAGAGCAGGCCAUAAGCUGAGAUGUGUCUUGUUUAAAGUGUCAUAGUAUAUUAGUGUAAUUAAAACCGCCAAAAGAAUAGAAAAGAUAGAUGGAAAUGUUACAUUACUUGUUUCUAGAGAUUAACCUCCAGCCAGAACUGAAAUACAGAGACACAUUUUGCAUGUCUUAGAGCUCUGAUAUGGAAGAAAACAAGCCUGAGAGUAUGUCUCUUGAAGUGUGAGACAUGAAGUCAUAGUUCCUGUAUUUACACAAUAAAGCAGAAAUAGCGUUUCAGACAGGCACGCUGUUUUCUCUCUGAUUACAGCUCCUGUUGUGGCUGUACUCUGCAAAGCAGCUGUAUCAUCUCUCAGCUACUUCCCUUUUACUCUCUCUGCCUUCAUGCUUGGAAGGUCUUGAGGACCCGUGGCCCACGAAUGUGCUGGUGUCAAUGCUUUCUGCUCCCUUGGCAUCUGCCAAUAUUGUGUGGUUCUAGCCUGGAGGCAGAGCACCCUGUCUGCUCUGGUGGCUGCAGAAGCCAGAGCUCAGCUCCAGACUCAGCAACAGCCAGCUAGGAAGAUGUUUGAAGAAUCUGACCUUUGUAUAUACCAGGCUGCGUGCUUGCUUCUCUGUUGAGUCUAUAGAUAAAACUGCAUGGCUUUCUGAAAUGGACCCUGAAAAUUAUGUUUUUGGCACUGUAUGUGUUCCUUCAUGUGCAUCAUUACUUGUGAUAACUAUUCAAGCCUAACUAGUUAUCUAGAUCUCUGUUUCUAACUAGAUCUCUGUUUCUAACCGUGACACAAGUUAUAUCUGGUGGUGAGAAAUUUUUGGAGUUUUUUAUGGAGCUGUUCAGCUGUAUAGGCUGAACCUUGGUUUAUCUAGAAUCUGGAGAGGACCUGAUCUGGCUUCAGCAGUUCUGAAACACUACAAAAGCAGCAUGGCUUUCUUCUAAUAUAAGUCUUAAUGCAAGGAGAAGAUGCAUUAAUCAGAUUCAUCUCAGUGACUGUGAAAUUCCUGAGGAUGUUAUCACUUUCAAGUCAGAUUAACAGAGUAAUUUCCAGUUACCACCAGUGAAGAGAUUCCUACCAAUGCUGGCAGGCAAUUGUUCAGUCUUAUGGAGCUUCAAAUAACUGUACAGCUUGAAAGUCUGAGCAUUACACGCCUUCUUUGAAGACCUACCAGACAGAACCCCCAAAGGUCCUUUGUUUUGUAGUUCACCGUGCAGUGAGCCAAACAGUGGAUCUGUGGGUGCUUUUGGGUCACCUUCGUCUUGGGCCUUUCUUCUGAGAGACCAUCUCUGUUUAGACUGGAGUCCUUCUGAACUGUGGGAAAGAGCUCUUCCAGCUGCCGAGUGGUGACCCCAGACAUCAUCCUCAGGAGAUGUCCCAGAGCAUCUGUCUGAACUGUGAGGUUGCUUUCAGCAACUUGUGCAUUUCUGCUUUGAGUGAUCAUCAGGGGAGGGUAUGGAUGGUACUCGAAUCCUGACCUACGUCUCACACUGUUGUUCUAGACCCUGGUGCAAGCUGGUUUGCUGGACUUUGCCUGCUUUGGCAGUGUGCGCAGCACGGAGCUUGCAGGAGCUGCUCACUGCUUGACAACCGUGCAACCAUGCUACCAGAACUCCUGAUACUACUCUUAAAGUGGACCUUUCUUUGAGAAAGCAAAUGAUUCCAUCUUUUUUGAUCAGGUUCUUCCUCUAGAGGAGUUCCUGCAGCUACAGGACCAGGAGGUAAGACCCUUGGUUUCAAUUGUAGAGGGGAAGAAUGAAUGAGAUUGCCAAAUACACUAAGUUUGCAGUCAAUGAGCUGAGAAAAGCAUGACUGCAAGCUACCUUUCUGCUUUCCAAAUCCUGGACUGGUGGAAAAUCAAAACAUUGUUUAGGUCAGCUUGCAGGCAUAGAGUAUACUUCACCUCCCAUGAACUGGGGAUGGAAAGUAAAGGAAGGACUGUUGCAGAGCUGCUGGUUCUCCUCUCUCCAAAGACUUCCUGCUGAGGAGAAUCCUCAGUUGUCCAUUUAGGGUAGUAUUAGAGCUGAGCUGAACUGCUAAGGCAUGCAAAGAAGCUGCAGAUGGGACUGGGAGUACAGCUCCACACUUCUCUGUUGAGCCACCCAGUUGCAGCAAAUGCCUGAUAUAGGUGGGUACGGAGGCUGUUGGUAAUGGCUAGAGGCAGAGAAAUGGGUCUGGUUUUAAUAAAAAGGUAGUUUACGAACAGCAUUUUUCUUAUUUUAAUGAUAAAAUGGAUAUGAAACAGUUACACUCCAGGCCCUUAUUUUUCAGUGCUAUUAUUUUUUUAGAACAUUGAAAACA